UGGUACAUGGGUGAUUUGUGAGAGAUAGGCUCCUAAACUACAAGUGUACCCCCCAGGGCAGCUUUUCAAAGUAGAUAUUCAUAGGAAAAAAAAGAAUUAAUUUUUCCUUCUCUCUUUUUUUUUUUUUUUUUUUUUUUUUUGAACUUGGUAGGCUUUGAAUGCUUAACAGAAUUAGAUUCUGGCAUGGAGAUCAUGAAAGAUCUCUGAUUAUUCCAAUUCUUUUAACUGAUUAAAUGAAGAUACCAAGCUCUGAGAGUCAUGUGAGCAGAGCCCUGAGCUAUAUAAAGGGAACAGCUCACCUGUUUCAUGUUGUGUAGAAUAAGAUGAAAGGAAAGGAUGUAGCUUGAAAGCAGGAUGGAGAACAGCCAGAGGUCCCCACCAAAAACAAAGGAAUGUGACAAGCGUCAGGGCCAUACAGCCUCAGCAUCCCCAGGGCCUGGACAAAAAUAUGGGCAUUCUCCCGUCUUCCAGGCCAGCUUCGUGCCAGCACCAUCCUCUUCCCCUGCCUGCAGCCAUGGCAGCUUCAGUUACAAUAAGGGACCAUUUGUUGGCAAAGGAGGGUGCCGUAGAAUUGGCAGUUUCUGUCCGUUCCCAGGAAAAAGGGACUGCCUGGACAGAGAAGUCUGUAAGCCAACAGUGUCAUGCAGCAGGGUCCAACAGCUCUGCCACCAUCCAUCCAUCCUGAAUCUUAUGUAACCAGCUCAUGUUCUAAAAAAAGGAAGAAAAAAAAAAAAAAAGUAUUUGUUUAAAACACUCUAUUGAAGAACUAUAAACAACACAGCGUGUUAGUUUACACAGACUGAGCAGUGACGGUACAGCGCAAUGUGAGGGUACAAUUCACUCCUGCUUCCCCUCCAGGCUACAGGGAUCUCGGCCUGAUUGUCAGUUUAAAACACAGCAACUAUUUCUGCGGGCUUGUAAACUCAAACUUACGCCAGAGACAGCGGAGCAUAUGGUAAAGACGGACUCCAAAGUAAUGAAGGAGUCCCUCAAAUAUCACCCCGCCUCUUUUCACAAACAGCAGAGAAAGGGGGGGUCAAGGCUUUUUAAGGCACAUUUGAAAAUAAAAAAGAAAGAAAAAAAAAAAACGUGUGCA
This 1096-nucleotide long non-coding RNA is filed under the name Anas platyrhynchos platyrhynchos (common mallard). RNAcentral describes it as "lncRNA (ENSAPLG00000019336.1)". Lineage: Eukaryota; Metazoa; Chordata; Aves; Anseriformes; Anatidae. The record is from RNAcentral.